Small nucleolar RNA from Carya illinoinensis, 106 nucleotides. The record is from RefSeq and is a predicted model, not a curated record. Lineage: Eukaryota; Viridiplantae; Streptophyta; Magnoliopsida; Fagales; Juglandaceae.
AAACCAUGAUGUGGACAGAUAUUUAUCAAAUCUUUAAAAUUUUUCCAACUGUCCUAAAAAGUCUCAUCAGGUUUCUAAUUGAAUUGAGUGAUUUGCUAUUGCUACU